GCGGAUGUGGCGGAAUUGGUAGACGCGCACGGUUCAGGUCCGUGUGCCUUUCGGGGCGUGGAGGUUCAAGUCCUCUCAUCCGCA
This 84-nucleotide transfer RNA is filed under the name Actinomycetes bacterium. RNAcentral describes it as "tRNA-Leu". It matches the Rfam family "tRNA". From Rfam's summary of the family: Transfer RNA (tRNA) molecules are approximately 80 nucleotides in length. Their secondary structure includes four short double-helical elements and three loops (D, anti-codon, and T loops). The record is from RNAcentral. RNAcentral also lists the same sequence under 5 other names. Lineage: Bacteria; Bacillati; Actinomycetota; Actinomycetes.